RNAcentral lists this ribosomal RNA (491 nucleotides) under Protoblepharus apatani. Its description in RNAcentral is "Scincidae sp. ZAM-2021a partial large subunit ribosomal RNA". It matches the Rfam family "Bacterial large subunit ribosomal RNA", at positions 1799 to 2564 of the family's 2925-position model. Lineage: Eukaryota; Metazoa; Chordata; Lepidosauria; Squamata; Scincidae. The record is from RNAcentral.
CCUGUUUUACAAAAACAUAGCCUUUAGCAAAACAAGUAUUAAAGGUCUCGCCUGCCCAGUGAAACAUUUAAACGGCCGCGGUAUUCUAACCGUGCAAAGGUAGCGUAAUCACUUGUCUUCUAAAUAAAGACCAGUAUGAACGGCUAAAUGAGGACAAAUCUGUCUCCUGCAACCAAUCUGUGAAAUUGAUCUUCCCGUACAAAAGCUGGAAUAACCACAUAAGACGAGAAGACCCUGUGGAGCUUAAAAUCAACUGCUACACAAACUAGCAUAAGAUUUUAGGUUGGGGCGACUUCGGAACAAAAUAAAACUUCCGAGCACGGAACCACCACUUCCAAAAAGGCCUACGAGCCAAGCACUGACCCAGUCACACUGAUCAACGAACCAAGUUACCCCAGGGAUAACAGCGCAAUCCCCUUCAAGAGUCCAUAUCGACAAGGGGGUUUACGACCUCGAUGUUGGAUCAGGACACCCAAAUGGUGCAGCCGCUA